Long non-coding RNA from Nicotiana tabacum (common tobacco), 449 nucleotides. RefSeq lists it as uncharacterized. The record is from RefSeq and is a predicted model, not a curated record. NCBI's taxonomy places the organism in Eukaryota, Viridiplantae, Streptophyta, Magnoliopsida, Solanales, Solanaceae.
GUGGAGCUUUUGUUUAGACCUUCUUAGUCGCCACUAUUUCGUUUGUUUGGUAUUGUUUAAAUUUUUAUGUAAAUCCAAAUCUACCCAAGCCCUAGUAAAUCGACUUAAUGCGGAAUUGACCUUUCUGAGGGCUUUCUUUAAGGUAGCAAUUUCACAAUUUUGCUUCAGAUCUGAAAUCCUAUAUGAUAUCAACGCCUCUCCGCUACUGAAUACGGUCCUUAUCUCCAAAAUCGCGACACAGAUUCUUCAAAGAUGGGAGCUGGUUGCCAAGAAGGAAUUUGAAGAUAUUUUGUGGGUUUUUUUUGGCCAUGUUUAUAUACAACUACAAUGUAUUAUGAAGUAUUAUGUACACUUCACAUUAUGAUAUCUGUUACACCCCGUAGUAUUGUACGUUGGAUUUGUAGUAAGAUAAUUGACAUCAGUUCAAGGACAAGAUUAUUUUGAGGUUA